Sorghum bicolor (sorghum) is the source of this 201-nucleotide long non-coding RNA. RefSeq lists it as uncharacterized. The transcript is spliced from 2 exons. Lineage: Eukaryota; Viridiplantae; Streptophyta; Magnoliopsida; Poales; Poaceae. The record is from RefSeq and is a predicted model, not a curated record.
CCAACUCCACACAAUUUGGAUGUCGAGCUCGAUGGAUCUUGUUACCCCUCCUCCUCCUCCUCCUCCCGAGGGACGUCGGCCGUCGGCAUUGGUAAAUGGUUGGGGUAUUCCGGGGAGAUCUUGGUGUUGUUUGAGACGCCCUCUGGCUUUGCAAUAUUCUGUUACAAUGGGGCCAAACUCUUCCUCCCAAAUGCCAUACAG